RNAcentral lists this ribosomal RNA (497 nucleotides) under uncultured bacterium. Its description in RNAcentral is "partial 16S ribosomal RNA". It matches the Rfam family "Bacterial small subunit ribosomal RNA", at positions 28 to 507 of the family's 1533-position model. The record is from RNAcentral.
GAUGAACGCUGGCGGCGUGCCUAAUACAUGCAAGUCGAGCGAACGGACGAUAAGCUUGCUUCUCUGAUGUUAGCGGCGGACGGGUGAGUAACACAUGGAUAACCUACCUAUAAGACUGGGAUAACUUCGGGAAACCGUAGCUAAUACCGGAUAAUAUUUUGAACCUCAGGGUUCAAAAGUGAAAGACGGUCUUGCUGUCACUUAUAGAUGGAUCCGCGCUGCAUUAGCUAGUUGGUAAGGUAACGGCUUACCAAGGCAACGAUGCAUAGCCGACCUGAGAGGGUGAUCGGCCACACUGGAACUGAGACACGGUCCAGACUCCGACGGGAGGCAGCAGUAGGGAAUCUUCCGAAAUGGGGGAAAGCCUGAAGGAGCAACGCCGCGUGAGUGAUGAAGGUCUUCGGAUCGUAAAACUCUGUUAUGAGGGAAGAACAUAUGUGUAAGUAACUGUGCACAUCUUGACGGUACCUACUCAGAAAGCAACGGCUAACUACGUG